This 74-nucleotide transfer RNA is filed under the name Neoasaia chiangmaiensis. It matches the Rfam family "tRNA". Rfam says of the family: Transfer RNA (tRNA) molecules are approximately 80 nucleotides in length. Lineage: Bacteria; Pseudomonadati; Pseudomonadota; Alphaproteobacteria; Acetobacterales; Acetobacteraceae. The record is from Rfam by way of RNAcentral.
CGUAGGGUGGAGCAGCCCGGUAGCUCGCCAGCCUCAUAAGCUGGAGGUCGUCGGUUCGAAUCCGGACCCUGCAA